RNAcentral lists this unclassified non-coding RNA (338 nucleotides) under soil metagenome. RNAcentral's name for it is "partial contains 5.8S ribosomal RNA, internal transcribed spacer 2, and large subunit ribosomal RNA". The stretch from base 1 to 119 matches the Rfam family "5.8S ribosomal RNA", at positions 35 to 154 of the family's 154-position model. The record is from RNAcentral.
GAUGAAGAAGCAGCGAAAUGCGAUACGUAGUGUGAAUUGCAGAAUUCAGUGAAUCAUCGAAUCUUUGAACGCACAUUGCACCUCUCGGUAUUCCGGGAGGUAUGCCUGUUCGAGCGUCAUUUGUACCCUCAAGCUCUGCUUGGUGUUGGGUGUUUGUUCCGCCUCUGUGUGUGAACUCGCCUCAAAACAAUUGGCAGCCGGCGUACUUGUUUCGGAGCGCAGCACAUUUUGCGAUCCAGAUCAACGUACAGCGGCAUCCAAGAAGCCUUAUUUAACGCUCUUGACCUCGGAUCAGGUAGGGAUACCCGCUGAACUUAAGCAUAUAAAUAAGCGGAGGA